Molecule: long non-coding RNA, 3373 nt
Organism: Micropterus dolomieu (smallmouth bass)
Lineage: Eukaryota; Metazoa; Chordata; Actinopteri; Centrarchiformes; Centrarchidae
Exons: 4
Source: RefSeq, a predicted model, not a curated record
UCCUGGUCGGGCCUAUAAACUAAUGCAGUAACUGUUUGUACCAAACUCCAUUUAAUUUAGAGAACACACUCACACUCUAGCAUUGGACGAUGUCAACAAUGAAUCACUGGGAUGGACGAUGACGUUGAUAGGCUACGUAAUUAACAAGCUGGCAUGCGGUGCACCUGCUGCCAUGAAAAAGAAAUUAAGAGUUCUGUUUCUUUUCUGUGACUUUGUAAAACAUAACCUACUGCUUAUGGAGAAACUCAGGGGAGCAGACAGGGAGCGAGAGAGGCGGGGAAAGCCGGUGUUUGCAGUGAGAGACCAGAGAUCUGUCCUCUCAAGUGAACCUGAGCGCUGAGACCUGAGAGUUUCCAUCCACAUUUCGGACUAGAGAGUGUUGCUGAAGGAAUUUCAUUAUGCCCAUAAUCACCUGACUUGCGAAAGCAGCUCUGAUAUUGGAUCAAACAGAGUAUUGAGUGGCACUACAGCUAUCCAAGGUAUGUUAUCAAUUUGCACAUUUCUGCAUCAAUUGCUGGCUUGCUAAUCAGCCAUACUGAGGAUAUAAAAAAUACUACAUUGCUAGAGCUGGAACCAUCAACAUUUCACAGUGGAUGACAUUUUAACAUGAAAGAAGAUAUUUUAGCCCUGAUUUGAAACGUAGGGGGAAUAUUGUACUGUUUUAGAAAAGUGCAUUAGUCCAGCUGUGACUGUGAGAUUUUUAUAAUGAAAAUGUAUAUUUAGCAAUUUAAAAUUCUCAUAGAUUUCUUUCAGAAAUGAUUGGCAGUGAUCAAAAGCCGAGAAAACUGUAGAUCUAUUAUAGCAUUAAGUGUAAACAUUUUUCACUGUAGGCUCUGUUAAAGACUGUUAUAAACUUAUGAUGAGAUGGUUGAAUGACUGAAGUAUCUGACUGAAAUUCUGUCUUAACCCUGUUCAGACCAAGAAUGGCACUGAAAAAACACAAGUAUCUGUGUUGGUGUGGGAAUGUUGCUUCAGAUAGAAGCUAAAUGAUGAAAUUUUAUAAAAUUAGUAUAGUGUAAAAUAUAUAUGAUCGGCUAACUCAAUUCUUCACCACAUAAUCUUUCAGUUUGAUGCAGUAAAACUUAAGUUAGGUUAAAGAAAUUUGCAGGAUGACCCUGCAUUUUCUUUUCUUGUCCAUUUCUCAGGUAAAAACAAGUUGGAAACCAUUAAUCUGCAUACAUUUAUGUGUUUGCAGGUGUUUACUGAGUUCAUUGCUUUACAAAUGUUGAACCUAUGCAACCAAUUCUACUGCGAGCUUGAGAGAUACACACCACAAUCAAUUGCCCUGUUGCUGUAGCAACAAUGUUGAUCACAUAAUGGUCAGUCAAUACAGAUUGGGACCUCUGUACUAUAAUAGUGAAAUUUGAUUAUGAUAUUGUCUUGUGAUGACAAGGAGGAUAGAGCCAUCUACUUUCAAUUGUCAUUUCUCAUUUGCAUUUAUUUUUGUAAGUUUUCCGGUACAUGAUCACUUUAAAAGUCAUUUACAAGCUUAUUUUGAAAUCAUUGGGCUGCCCUGAACACUUAACCCAAGACAGAAAAUCUUCAAUUUCGCUCAGAUUUUAUAUGCUGAGCAUGACUUUUUAUUUUUCUAUCUGUCCAAGAGACCAACUCCAUCCAUGAUUGAUCACCAUACAGACAGUUGCAGAGACACAAACAGAGAGAGAUGUACUAUAAGCCUUCUCCACAAGCAGCUCACCUGUGGUUGUUACCACAGAAUCGUGGGUGAAAAAGUUCAAAUUGCAGCCUGUAUGUGUCUGUCGCUGUAUGAUACAGCAAGAAAGAAACUGAAAAGGGUGGUGCAAGCUGGUGUGUGUGCAGCGUUGUGCGGAACAGAACUGUGGGUGCUUGUGCGAAUCUCCACAUCCCACAAUUUAAAACUGAAUACCAACCCAAUGACUAAAUAGUUGAAUAUUUGGCUGCAGCCCUAUUGCACUGGCUUCCAAAUCUCUUCUAUUGUCAUAUUUAAGGUUAUAGUUAGCUUCUAUUUCUCACUCAUUGUUUGAGUCAAUGUGUGUAAAUUUGACUCGUCUUUCAGUAGUUGCAAUUGGAUGGAUUUGUUGUUAUUGCUAUCAAUAUUAUUAUUAUUUUAGAAUUACAUUGGUAGAACUGCUACACUUUAUGGCUUGAUGUGCUGUAAAAAUAUUUGUAUGAUCAUAAUUAUUUUGAUUGUCAAUCUGGGAACAUCACGAGGUACACAUGAGAUGCCAUUCGACCCUCCGUGGCCUCCCAUUGAACCUGCUAGCGGAUGACUGACGUCUUCAAAACAUGCAAUGUAAGUACUCAGUGUACUGUAGAGAAAUGUCAAUAUCAACGACAAGUAAUAUGAAAUGUAAUGUAAUGAAAUCUACUACGGGAAACCAACUCAAAUACCUCUUCCAGCAACUGACAGGUUUAAAGAGAUGAAAGGAUAGGUUUGUGUUUUUUUGUAGUCUAUAUCAAAACAAUGCUAAUAUAUGAUGUGUACAGUGAAAAGGUUAAUGUUGGCUAUUAGCAUCCCCUUCAUAGGCAUAGCCAAAUUGUUAGAAAUUAGGGACAAAUCCACUCUUCUCCUUUCAUGAAAAAAUGUUUCCCAAACCUCCCAAGACCUGGGCUUUGAUUCUGUGUGUAUUUAUAUUAGUAGCAUUGCCUUUGAACAGGGUGUACUUUUAGAAAAAAAAUGAGUAUGUGUACCCAAUGUGUAACAAAGAAGAAACAGACAUCAGAACAUGGCUGGCAAGUGACCCUAGAGGGCACAGGCAUGUGCCCACUAAUGAGGACAAUAGGUCUAAGUUGAGCAGAAUGAAGUAUAUGGUGCAUGGAUCUCAAACCCUAAUUACCAGACCAAGCCUACCAAGUCCUGCCAUAAGGCUCCAGCCUCCUCUCCUUGCUCCCAGAAAGGAGUGGCUCCACCCACCAACAACGAGGAGGAGAACACCUCCAGCAGCGCCUCGGUACAUAACCCAACCUUCAACUGCUCCUCUGUGAGGAAAACCUGAAUCUGCGUUUUGUUCUUUGAUUGGUCCGUUUCAAAACUAAAAUGAUUAAAUGAAAAAAUAUUUAAUGUGUCUGAUUUGUGAAAGCGGGAAGCAGCUUUGUGUCUUCACCAAGCAGGAACCUCCAGGUUUGAAAAGUGAAGCCUCAAACCCAAGGGCAUCACUUUGUGCUGAAAGGUGGUGGGGACAUUUAAGGGCUCAUAUGAUGGGUGGAAUGAAACACGCGAGAAAGCACAUUAUUGGAGUCUCCAGAACAAGACAACAAGAUACUCCAAUGCUAUUUAGAAGAAAUAAUCAUUGAAAAAAUAGGCAAUUGAAGUGGGGGGUCCUCCCCCAUAAGAUUUUGAGCAUUAAACUCUUGAUUUCCUGCAUUCUAGAGACAUUUUCUGCACCAAUUUUUG